UACGGAGGGUGCGAGCGUUAAUCGGAAUUACUGGGCGUAAAGCGCAUGCAGGUGGAUGAUUAAAGUCAGAUGUGAAAGCCCGGGGCUCAACCUCGGAAUAGCAUUUGAAACUGGUCAUCUAGAGUACUGUAGAGGGGGGUAGAAUUUCAGGUGUAGCGGUGAAAUGCGUAGAGAUCUGAAGGAAUACCGGUGGCGAAGGCGGCCCCCUGGACAGAUACUGACACUCAGAUGCGAAAGCGUGGGGAGCAAACAGG
This 254-nucleotide ribosomal RNA is filed under the name uncultured bacterium. RNAcentral's name for it is "partial 16S ribosomal RNA". It matches the Rfam family "Bacterial small subunit ribosomal RNA", at positions 524 to 776 of the family's 1533-position model. The record is from RNAcentral.